UACGGGGGGAGCAAGCGUUGUUCGGAUUUACUGGGCGUAAAGGGCGCGUAGGCGGCCACCGCAAGUCAAUUGUGAAAUCUCCGGGCUUAACUCGGAAAGGUCAACUGAUACUGCGGGGCUAGAGUGCGGAAGGGGCAACUGGAAUUCUCGGUGUAGCGGUGAAAUGCGUAGAUAUCGAGAGGAACACCUGCGGCGAAGGCGGGUAGCUGGGCCGACACUGACGCUGAGGCGCGAAAGCCAGGGGAGCGAACGGG
RNAcentral lists this ribosomal RNA (254 nucleotides) under uncultured bacterium. RNAcentral's name for it is "partial 16S ribosomal RNA". It matches the Rfam family "Bacterial small subunit ribosomal RNA", at positions 524 to 776 of the family's 1533-position model. The record is from RNAcentral.